CAAUGCAACGUCAGGCAUAAACUGCACAAACUACCAAGUUGUUGUGAGCAGGAUGGCCAAAGUUUUCACUGCCAUACCGAUGGCGAGACUUCAAGAAAUCACAGACGUUUUGCUGGGCUACCUCAGAAAAUCUGCCAGUGUCAUUAAUACAGCAGUUUGCAGGCAGGAAAUGUUGAAUGAUGUCGAUUGGGUUGAAAUAAAUUUGGGUCCAUUUUCUCAAU
Melanotaenia boesemani (Boeseman's rainbowfish) is the source of this 221-nucleotide long non-coding RNA. RefSeq lists it as uncharacterized. The transcript has 3 exons. The record is from RefSeq and is a predicted model, not a curated record. Lineage: Eukaryota; Metazoa; Chordata; Actinopteri; Atheriniformes; Melanotaeniidae.